CGAGUCGGUCGGGCGGCCGCGUCGACGACCUCCGGGUCGUCGCCGAGGAAAGUCCGGACUCCGCAGGGCAGGGUGGUUGUCAACGGCAACCCGGGGCGACCCGCGGGACAGUGCCACAGAGAACAGACCGCCGUCGGCGCGAGCCGGCGGUAAGGGUGAAACGGUGGUGUAAGAGACCACCAGCACCCCGGGUGACCGGGGUGGCUCGGUAAACCCCACCCGGAGCAAGGCCAAGAGGCUCCCGCCUGCGGGAGCUGCGCAGACGUUCGAGGGCGGCCCGUCCGAGUCUGCGGGUAGGCCGCAAGAAUCCGCCGGCGACGGCGGAUCGAGAUGGAUGGUCGCCGAACGGAGCACCGCAAGGUGCCCGGGAACAGGAUCCGGCUUACAGACCGGCUCGUCCG
Molecule: RNase P RNA, 401 nt
Filed under: Pseudonocardia benzenivorans
Lineage: Bacteria; Bacillati; Actinomycetota; Actinomycetes; Pseudonocardiales; Pseudonocardiaceae
Also listed under: 1 other name
Description: RNase P RNA component class A
Rfam family: Bacterial RNase P class A
About the family: Ribonuclease P (RNase P) is a ubiquitous endoribonuclease, found in archaea, bacteria and eukarya as well as chloroplasts and mitochondria. Its best characterised activity is the generation of mature 5'-ends of tRNAs by cleaving the 5'-leader elements of precursor-tRNAs.
Source: RNAcentral